UUUGUUUAAAUCAUUGUAGGUCUCUAUUUUGAAAAUUAAACUUCCACAAAGUGAUGGAACAUACAUUGAUUUCAUCCAA
RNAcentral lists this microRNA precursor (79 nucleotides) under Medicago truncatula (barrel medic). Its description in RNAcentral is "MIR5269 microRNA precursor family". It matches the Rfam family "MIR5269 microRNA precursor family". The record is from Rfam by way of RNAcentral. Lineage: Eukaryota; Viridiplantae; Streptophyta; Magnoliopsida; Fabales; Fabaceae.